This 734-nucleotide long non-coding RNA is filed under the name Canis lupus familiaris (dog). RNAcentral's name for it is "lncRNA (ENSCAFG00030010193.1)". Lineage: Eukaryota; Metazoa; Chordata; Mammalia; Carnivora; Canidae. The record is from RNAcentral.
AUGACCUCCACCCCACCCCCCGACCCCCAGCGUAGGCUCGCACACAUUUUUGCAGGCAGUUCAGCGUGUCCUUGGCCAGGCGGCUUUGCUGCCAGGGAGGAGCUCCCCACCCCCCUUCUCUGGACUUUGCACCUGUCACGAGAAACUCACUGGCACAUCAGGGCUGGGAGCCCGAGCACACGCCUGCUGAAGUGCCUGCCCGCCCCUUCUAGGGCCCGCUGCACCCCUCUCAGAUCCCAGCACCGCCCCCCGCGCCCCCUCCCACGCCACUGGCUUCCCACCCUCCGCCCUGGGGGUGGGGGUGGGACCUGCGCCCAGAGGGUCCCCGCCACAGCUCGGGAAGGAGUGUACUCCCGAGCCCUCCCGCUUGGAGGCGUUGCCGGCCGCCCCGCCCUCCGCCCGCACCUGCGGGUUCGGCCCCGCCCGCCGGCGGCGUCCCCAGGUGAGUCAGUGGCCCGCCCACCUGUCCAGGUCCUGCCCGCUCCAGCCGGAAGCGUCCUCCCUGGACUGUGCACAGUUCCUACAGGUGCUUUUCUAGCCUGGAUGCUCCUCCCCAGGUACUCCUCUGAUUCAGGUGCUCCACCUGCAGAUAAUCUCCAGGCCUAGCUGCUCCUCUAACAGGUGAUCCACAGUUGGCUCCUCCCUGAAGACUGCCUCCCUCUUGAGGGCAGACAGAGGUCAAUGGACAAGGGAUGUGUCUGAGGAGCUGCGGGUCAAGGUGGGGAAGCAGGAGC